UCUCGAAAAAGGCAAACCAAGCGAAAGCUUGGGACGCAAAGCUACAGGGGCUUACGCGCGAUGAGCGCAAGCCAGCCAGCUGCCGAA
RNAcentral lists this non-coding RNA (87 nucleotides) under Paenibacillus sp. Its description in RNAcentral is "c-di-GMP sequence". It matches the Rfam family "c-di-GMP-I riboswitch aptamer". From Rfam's summary of the family: GEMM was predicted in a large-scale screen for bacterial structured RNA regulatory elements. Lineage: Bacteria; Bacillati; Bacillota; Bacilli; Caryophanales; Paenibacillaceae. The record is from RNAcentral.